AUGAGGCUACUCACCAUCAUCCCAAAGAUCAAGGUCAAAGAGAAGGAGAUGCGCAUUCUCAUGGUGGGUCUGGACAACUCAGGGAAGACGACGAUCGUGCUCAAGGUCAAUGGGAAGGACACGAGCGUCAUAAACCCCACCCUUGGCUUCAACAUCAAGACCGUCAAGUAUCACAAAUGCUCCUUGAACAUAUGGGAUGUUUGCAGAUGGGAUGUUGGGGGAUCUUAUUGGAGGAAUUACUUUGAGCAGACUGGUGGACUAGUUUGGGUGGUUGAUAAUUCGGAUAUUUGCAGGCUUGAUGAUCGCCAUGCUGAACUCCAUAAUCUCUUGAAGGAAGAGGUACUACUUCUGGGGCACCAGGAGAGUGAUGUUUUAUGA
Molecule: ribosomal RNA, 378 nt
Filed under: Triticum aestivum (bread wheat)
Lineage: Eukaryota; Viridiplantae; Streptophyta; Magnoliopsida; Poales; Poaceae
Description: partial small subunit ribosomal RNA
Source: RNAcentral